UCGAGAAUAUUGCACAAUGGGGGAAACCCUGAUGCAGCGACAUCGCGUGUGGGAUGAAGAUCUUCGGAUUGUAAACUACUUUUCUAUGGGAAGAAUUUUUGACGGUACCAUAGGAAUAAGGGGUGACUAAACUCGUGCCAGCAGUAGCGGUAAUACGAGUGCCCCAAGCGUUAUCCGGAUUAACUGGGCGUAAAGGGUCUGUAGGUGGUUUAUUAAGUUCUUCGUUAAAUCUCUAGGGCUUAACCUUAGAGCUGCGGAGAAAACUGAUGAACUAGAGGAUGUUAGGGGCUGAUAGAACACUCGGUGGAGGGGUGAAAUCCGUUGAUAUCGAGUGGAAUACCAAAAGCGAAGGCAAUCAGCUGGGACAGUCCUGACACUGAUAGACGAAAGCGUGGGGAUAGAAAAG
RNAcentral lists this ribosomal RNA (406 nucleotides) under uncultured bacterium. Its description in RNAcentral is "bacterial SSU rRNA". It matches the Rfam family "Bacterial small subunit ribosomal RNA", at positions 355 to 775 of the family's 1533-position model. The record is from RNAcentral.